Molecule: ribosomal RNA, 442 nt
Filed under: uncultured bacterium
Lineage: Bacteria
Description: bacterial SSU rRNA
Rfam family: Bacterial small subunit ribosomal RNA
Source: RNAcentral
CCUACGGGGGGCAGCAGUGGGGAAUUUUCCGCAAUGGGCGAAAGCCUGACGGAGCAACGCCGCGUGAGGGAUGAAGGCCUCUGGGCUGUAAACCUCUUUUAUCAAGGAAGAAGAUCUGACGGUACUUGAUGAAUAAGCCACGGCUAAUUCCGUGCCAGCAGCCGCGGUAAUACGGGAGUGGCAAGCGUUAUCCGGAAUUAUUGGGCGUAAAGCGUCCGCAGGCGGUCUUUUAAGUCUGUUGUUAAAGCGUGGAGCUUAACUCCAUUUCAGCAAUGGAAACUGGGAGACUAGAGUGUGGUAGGGGCAGAGGGAAUUCCCGGUGUAGCGGUGAAAUGCGUAGAUAUCGGGAAGAACACCAGUGGCGAAGGCGCUCUGCUGGGCCAUAACUGACGCUCAUGGACGAAAGCCAGGGGAGCGAAAGGGAUUAGAUACCCCCGUAGUC